Molecule: ribosomal RNA, 464 nt
Filed under: uncultured bacterium
Lineage: Bacteria
Description: partial 16S ribosomal RNA
Rfam family: Bacterial small subunit ribosomal RNA
Source: RNAcentral
ACGAACGCUGGCGGCGUGCUUAACACAUGCAAGUCGAACGGAAAGGCCCUGCUUGCAGGGUACUCGAGUGGCGAACGGGUGAGUAACACGUGGGUGAUCUGCCCUGCACUUCGGGAUAAGCCUGGGAAACUGGGUCUAAUACCGGAUAGGAGCCAUUUUUAGUGUGAUGGUUGGAAAGUUUUUUCGGUGUAGGAUGAGCUCGCGGCCUAUCAGCUUGUUGGUGGGGUAAUGGCCUACCAAGGCGGCGACGGGUAGCCGGCCUGAGAGGGUGGACGGCCACAUUGGGACUGAGAUACGGCCCCGACUCCUACGGGGGGCAGCAGUGGGGAAUAUUGCACAAUGGGCGCAAGCCUGAUGCAGCGACGCCGCGGGGGGGAUGACGGCCUUCGGGUUGUAAAAUCCUUUCGCUAGGGACGAAGCUUUUUGUGACGGUACCUAGAUAAGAAGCACCGGCUAACUACGUG